Molecule: ribosomal RNA, 925 nt
Filed under: uncultured bacterium
Lineage: Bacteria
Description: bacterial SSU rRNA
Rfam family: Bacterial small subunit ribosomal RNA
Source: RNAcentral
ACGAAAAAUAAUUCGUAGCGAACGGGUGAGUAAAAUACAGAAUUUUGCCUUUUAGUUUAGAAUAAAAUAUAGGUAAAUUUAUUAAAUAAGAUUUUUUAUUUAUAUUAAUACUGAAUAAAGAGAUAUAAUAAAGGCUAUUUUUUAAAAUAAAAUAGUUGCUAAAAGAUAAAUCUGUGUAAGAUUAGGUAGUUGGUAAUGUAAUAGCUUACCAAGCCGAUGAUCUUUAGUUGGUCUGAGAGGACGAUCAACCACACUGGAACUGAGAUAAGGUCCAGGCUAAUUUUUUGGCCAGCAGUGGGGAAUAUUGGACAAUGAACGAAAGUUUGAUCCAGCAAUACUAUGUGAAUGAAGACGGCUAAUUUGGUUGUAAAGUUCUUUCAUUAAAGAUGAUAAUGACAUUAUUUAAGGAAGUUUUAGUCCCGGCUAAUCUCGUGCCAGCAGCCGCGGUAAUACGGGAGGGGCAAGCGUUAUCCGGAAUAACUGGGCGUAAAGGGUCCGUAGACGGUGAUGUAAGUUAUUUGUUAAAUCUUAAAGCUUAACUUUAAACUAGCAUUUAAUACUGCUUCACUUGAGUUUUUUGCAGAAGAAUAGAAUUUUAUAUGAAGGGGUAAUACCUGUAGAUAUAUAAAGGAAUAUCAUUAGCGAAGGCGAUUCUUUAGUAAAAACUGACGUUGAGGGACGAAAGUAUAGGGAGCGAACAGGAUUAGAUACCCUGGUAGUCUAUACUGUAAAUUCUGAGUGCUGUAAUUUAGAUAAAAUGUGCUAUUUUUAUUUAGAUUUUUUAAGCUAACGCCAUAAGCACUCCGCCUGAGGAGUACGAUCGCAAGGUUGGAACUCAAAGGAAUUGACGGGGGCCUACAACUAGUGGUGGAGCAUGUGGUUUAAUGCGAUAAUCCGCGCAAAACCUUACCAACCCUUGACAUAA